This 300-nucleotide ribosomal RNA is filed under the name uncultured bacterium. RNAcentral's name for it is "partial 16S ribosomal RNA". The record is from RNAcentral.
UGCUCGAGCGGCCGCCAGUGUGAUGGAUAUCUGCAGAAUUCGGCUUUAAUCCGACCUAGGCUCAUCUAAUAGCGCGAAGCCCGAAGGUCCCCUGCUUUCUCCCGUAGGACGUAUGCGGUAUUAGCGUUCGUUUCCGAACGUUAUCCCCCACUACCAGGCAGAUUCCUAGGCAUUACUCACCCGUCCGCCGCUCUCAAGAGAAGCAAGCUUCUCUCUACCGCUCGACUUGCAUGUGUUAGGCCUGCCGCCAGCGUUCAAUCUGAGCCAGGAUCAAACUCUAAGCCGAAUUCCAGCACACUG